RNAcentral lists this transfer RNA (89 nucleotides) under Tateyamaria omphalii. RNAcentral describes it as "tRNA-Pro". Lineage: Bacteria; Pseudomonadati; Pseudomonadota; Alphaproteobacteria; Rhodobacterales; Roseobacteraceae. The record is from RNAcentral.
CGUUCAUUGGUCUGGCGACCCUGCCCUUUGGCUGGGUGACAUUGGACAUGGAACUGCUGGGUUGGCUGGUUCUGGCCGGCGUGAUUGGC